Non-coding RNA from Danio rerio (zebrafish), 484 nucleotides. The record is from RefSeq and is a predicted model, not a curated record. NCBI's taxonomy places the organism in Eukaryota, Metazoa, Chordata, Actinopteri, Cypriniformes, Danionidae.
AAGCUUAAUCCUAAUCUAUUGCACCUGAUCUACCUAAUCAAGUGCCUGUCUAAUUUUUGGUUGCUAAUUCUUUCAAUCCUAAUGAAAUACACCUGGUCAAUGUAAUUAGGCCCUCAGCUAAUGUUCUUAGACUAGCCUUUUAGUAGGUUCCACAACUUCUGUUGGAAAGUGAGGGUGAGUGAACCUUUUUGAGUGCUGCUGAACUCUUGCUUUAACCUUUAAAUUAAAUGCACAAUAUAAUUGUUUUUCUUUCCAGGUGUGUUGGAAAAUGAGGGUGUUAAUGUUGAUUGCUGCUGAAUUAUCAAUCUUAAAUACACCUGGUCAAUCUACUUGCGUCCCUCAGCCUUGUUCUUCGUCCAACCCUUUCGUGUUCCACAAGUUGAUGUUGGAAAGUGAGGGAUAUCAGCGAGUUCUAAUGUGACUCCUAAUGUUGUCAGUUCCUCAAGUUUGUUGAAAAGUGAGGGUUGAUUUUGGAAAGUAAGGG